CGGAGGGCGUAGCGUUGUUCGGAAUUACUGGGCGUAAAGACGUACGUAGGCGGCUUUGUAAGUUAGAGGUGAAGACCUGGAGCUCAACUCCAGAACUGCCUUUAAGACUGCAUCGCUUGAAUCCAGGAGAGGUGAGUGGAAUUCCGAGUGUAGAGGUGAAAUUCGUAGAUAUUCGGAAGAACACCAGUGGCGAAGGCGGCUCACUGGACUGGUAUUGACGCUGAGGUACGAAAGCGUGGGGAGGCAAACAGGAUU
Molecule: ribosomal RNA, 255 nt
Filed under: uncultured bacterium
Lineage: Bacteria
Description: partial 16S ribosomal RNA
Rfam family: Bacterial small subunit ribosomal RNA
Source: RNAcentral